UUGCCGGAUCACUAUGGAUACUCGUAAUCACUAGUCAGUCAGUACCAGCACCUCCACCAUGCAGUGGUGUUAAUCUUUCUUAUCAUGUUAGUCACCCUGAGUAUCUGCGAUCCUGCAGCAUGUGUGGAGCAAACAGUAUCCACGUCCGUGGAAAAAAUGUGAAGGGCUGGGCGGCAUAUGCAGAGAUUCCUGUCCGGAGGCCAUACAACUCAAACAAGCUGAGGAUUGUGGUUCCCAAAUUUGCUGUGCUCUAGUUAAAUAAUGAUCUAUAUUAUCUUAUGUAAGUUUUAUUUGAAUAAAUACAAAUGAAAUAUU
This is a long non-coding RNA of Homalodisca vitripennis (glassy-winged sharpshooter), 315 nucleotides long. RefSeq lists it as uncharacterized. NCBI's taxonomy places the organism in Eukaryota, Metazoa, Arthropoda, Insecta, Hemiptera, Cicadellidae. The transcript is spliced from 2 exons. The record is from RefSeq and is a predicted model, not a curated record.